This 445-nucleotide ribosomal RNA is filed under the name uncultured bacterium. RNAcentral's name for it is "bacterial SSU rRNA". It matches the Rfam family "Bacterial small subunit ribosomal RNA", at positions 354 to 796 of the family's 1533-position model. The record is from RNAcentral.
GUGAGGAAUAUUGCGCAAUGGAGGCAACUCUGACGCAGCCAUGCCGCGUGCAGGAAGAAGGCGCUACGCGUUGUAAACUGCUUUUAACCGGGAAGAAACCCCAGGACGUGUCCUGGGUUGACGGUACCGGAGGAAUAAGCACCGGCUAACUUCGUGCCAGCAGCCGCGGUAAUACGAAGGGUGCAAGCGUUAUCCGGCUUCAUUGGGUUUAAAGGGUGCGUAGGCGGAGCGUUAAGUCAGUGGUGAAAUCCUGCAGCUUAACUGUAGACUUGCCAUUGAUACUGGCGCUCUUGAGUGCGCUUGAAGGGGGCGGAAUGUGCCGUGUAGCGGGGAAAUGCUUAGAUAUGGCACAGAACACCAAUUGCGAAGGCAGCUCACUAAGGCGAUACUGACGCUGAGGCACGAAAGCGUGGGGAUCGAACAGGAUUAGAUACCCCAGUAGUCC